UAAGGAAAGAUCCUCAUCACCCAAGUUUCAAUUGGACCGGAACUUGGAAUCAUGCAAGUUGUAUAGAAUGAUGAAUGAGAACCUUCAAGUAUUGGAAAAUUAAGACUAAUUACUUGUUCACAUGGAUGUGUGAGUCAAGUGAAGGACUAAGCGAUCGAGUACACAAUCUUGUGCACUGGUCAAGUCCACCACAAAAGAUCGAUAAGAUUAUUCGUCAUAAUUUACUAAAGCUCAGUAAAUAUGGUUAUAAUUACAAGCUUAAGUGUAAUUCUGAGACAUUGGAAAAGGUUCCAAUGUAAGGCAGAGCGAAUAAGAAGAAUCAAAUUAGGCAGAAGGAUAAAAGUUUCUCAAAUCUAAAAAGAUGGGAGAGUACUUUAGUAUCAGUUUUUAUGAUCAUCUUAAUGAUUUAGAGACCUUAUCACAAUUCAUCCUCUAAGUGCAUUCUUAUAGCUAAGAAGAGGAGCUAUGAAUUGUUGAAGUGGUUAAAUCAAGAAGAUGAGUCAUACUUCGUUCCAAUACAAGUCUUACAGUCAUACUCCAAGAUUGUAAUUUGAGUGACAUGUCUUAGAGAAGGUUUAAAACACAUGGAAAAUGUAAGAGUAAAGUUUUCUACUCUUGUACAUUUGAAAUUGGUAAGUUGUGAUGUUUUGGAUAAAACAAAGACCAACUAAGGCCAAUUGUGUGAAGUGUUUGUCUUGAUUAGAAUCCACACUAUCUCUUGAAUAUCUGACAAGAAAGUCUUAUAUGUCAAGAGGACAGUGGGAGUCUUAAAGGUCUUGAAAGUCUCAAGAACUAAUCAAGAAUAAAACCUGAAGUUCUUCACUAGCACACGACUUGAGGUUUAUAACCUAUCGUGUUGACAUAUUCUGUGCCCAUUCCAGUUAAAGUUGGCUUUGCAUAUGAGUUCUUAGAGUUCUCAAUUGGUUGCACAACAACUUGGAAGCAAUGGCAGGCCCUUGAGCUGCCAGGUGGCAAGAAAUUAAGAUUGAGUUCAGUCCAUAUGAGUUUGGAUUUGUCAUUAUCCUUGUCUUGUGACUAUGGUUUUGACAAGUCACAUGGAUAAGAACACAUACACCAUUAAAUCUAAGUGUCAUAAGGUUUCUCUCCGAUUCAUGAAAAUGAUGGUGAGGAAACACUUUUACUAAGUAGAUUUUAGCUAGAUAGCAAUUGUGUUAUUUGCGUUCUCAAAGUCGUUAGUUAAGCGUGUGUGGUUUACCGGAACACUAACGUGGACUUGUGAGAAGUGGCAAAGGUCUAAACAAUUGAGACUAUGAUUACGGCAUCCCUUUUCAUAUUUCUUAAAAAUUGUUUAGACACACCUGUGAGCUAUCUAAGAUAAGGUGUAUGAUUAUGAUAAAGUUUUUUCAAAGCAAUCUAGUAUCAGAAAUCCGAACUUUGGUAAGAAAGUCUAUAAAUAUUGAUUUCUAGAAGUUGAGCUGAUUUCUGAGUAUAUGUCAAAGCUAGUGGGAGCAUAAGUGUUAUGCUAAUAAUCAUCAUGUUAGUGGGAGCAUGAUAAUUAUGAUAAAGGUUGCAAGUUAGCAAUGAUAAUUAUAGAAAACAAAAGGUUUCAAUUGGGAAAAGUUGUUUUGCUAUAAUUAAGGGAGAGGAAAUUAUACUUCAUCUCAAAUCUAUAAGCUUAGAUCGUGAGGUUUUAAUCAUUUAGUCAUAGAUAUAUAUGAAUUUCAUGUUGGAAUGGCUCAACAUAAGGAAAUUCUGUAUAUGGGUCCAUUAUUUGCGUUCUAAAAUUCGAUUAUGAUUACGGCAUCCCUUUUCAUAAUCUGAAUUAUGAGAACUUGGCAAAUUGAAAUGGAAAUAUUAUAGCAAAAGACUGGUUUAGUCUUUAUGUGAGACAUCAUGAAUCGUGUCCCAUAUGCUUCGGAUAUAGGAUCGAUUACAUGUGCUAUAUUCAUCCUUUCUAAAAUUUUCCAAAUGCCUGGGGCAUUAAGAAGGGAAAAGGUCUAGAAUUGGAUAUGACUAAAAGGAUUAAUCAAUUGUCGAGGACAAUCUAAGGUUUACCAAAGAUUGGUUGCUCAAGGACAGUUGGAAGUAUAGUGAUAAUUCUGGAAGGACCAUAUUGACAUAAUCUGUAAGGAGGCAACUCUUGUUCAGAAGUGAUAGUCAAAUGGAAUCUGGAAAUGUUUCAAAGUUAGAACUUUCAAUCUAUGUAAGAUUAAGGAAACUUAAUGCAAGAAGGAUGUUUCCAAGGAGUUGAUCUCCUUUGGAAUACUUUGUAAUGUUUGUUGUCAAGUUCUUGUGACUUUGUGCAUAAUCAUUACAAGAGGAUCAAUGCAUAUAAGUUUCGAAUAUAACAGAUUUCAGUAAAUCGCAUGAAUUUGGAAUUUUUGCAAUUGCAGUAAGGAUUUGGGACUGUGAAAAGAGGAUCAUUGGAGUUAUGUUCAAUUGAUCUAUUUCACAAAGUAAAGAUCAUAGACAAACAUAGUAUGCAUACUUGGUGUAUGACAUGACUAGUAUUUAGAAAACAUAGUGUACAUGCUUGGAACAUGGGACAACUAUUGUUUUAAAUUAAAGAAUAAAGUUGAUAGGUGAAACAGUAUACAAUGAAUAAUGUGUAAUCAUAUGGUGAUAAAUAAAAGGUGUUUUAUUUAUGUUCAUAGGUUUUGAUACCAUAUUGGAUUCAAUUAUUAUUGUGUUUCACUUUGCAUGUUUUGACUUCCCGAAUAAACUAGGUUAUUCUUCCGGAAUGACUAAGUUAUUCAAACCAUCCACAGUCGGUCAUAUGUUGGAAGUAGAUAUGAAUUAAGACUGUCAUGGGUUGGCUUGUAGAGGUCUAAGGUGUUGGACAAAGGGCUACAACACUCAUGAGUGCUCAUAAGUUCUGAGUAUUGGAUUCAACCCGCGCUCAUUGGAAUCACUUCAUGGAUUUUAUCACGAGUGAUCAUGAGACGAUAAUAUCUUAUAUUCUUCAAACCUAGAGAUAUGAGUUGUUACUAUGAGUUGGUUGUACAUUGAUUGCACGAAAACGCAUUUGGUAACUCGGUGCUAUAAAACGUGCCUUUGUGUAUGAUUCAACAAGUAGUAGAACAAGCCAUAUGAGUCGAAGUUUAUCCAUUCCUUUUACCUUCGGGAUAAAAGCGAUAUCUGUGGGCCCCUCGAUGAUUUGAUGAUGACAAAUGGAAGUGCUCGGCCGGGCCAGGACUGAUUUGAUUUGUUCAAUUAGUCAGUCGUCAUAAAUCGGAAAUCGGGAAACAACAAAUGGACAGAGAGAAUGAUUAUAAUCCAUGUCUCAGUCCAUAUGAUAUCUAGAAUGGAGGAAUAUAUGAUCCCUUAUCUAAUGGACAAGUCAUUGACAAAGGUCAGAGUUCAUCUACAAGGUCAGAGUUCGACAGAAGCUUUUGAGAGCUACGAUUUCCAGUCAGUUCUUGAAGUCAUACGCAAUAAUAGUUUUAGACUUAUCCAAGUGGGAGACUGUUGGAUUAAUGUCUAAGUCCAUAACUAUAAUUGGUAAGACUUGACCCGACUUGGCAUGGUCCAUUUGGGUUGCAUGGCAUCAUGCAUUUGGAUAGACUAAAAUGAGAGAAAUAACACUUAAGGUUUGUUAAUAUAUUAUAAGUUCUAAUAUAUUAAUAAGGUUAUUUAAUUAGUAUUGAUCAAGAAUUAAUUUGGAAUUAAUUAAGUGAUCAAAAGGAGACUAAUUAAAUAUAUGGGUUGAUUGUGUAAAUCAUUCAUUCUUAUAUAUGUGGGCUUGUGAUCCAAGAUUCCUUAUGUUGGACUAAGUCCAUGGGGUGACCCAUGGAUGCUCCAUGGAGGUUAAAAUCCAUGGAGCAUAAGGAAUGGGUAAAGUCAUGAGUUACAUGGUGUAACCCUAAUAGCCACCAUAUACAAUAAUCCCAUGGCUCAAGAAAUCGUGCACUAGCGUGUGUGUGAGGGCUAAAUGAUUUCAUGGAGUGUUCAAGUUUCUCUCAAGUUAUUCCAAGUGUAUUUGGUGUUGUGUGAACCAUUUGAGGUGCCACACUUGAGGCACUUGGCACUCAAGCUUCAUGAAGACUUUCUACAUCAAAGAGGUAUGUAUUCUAUCUUGUUAUAUUCAUUGUUUUGUAUGCUAGAUUAGGAUAAUACCUCAGAUGUUCAUAUUUGCAUGUAUAAUAGAGAAAACAUAGAUCCAAGGUAUUUAAGGUUGCAUGUACACUUAGGAGUGUUAGAAUGCUCAUAACCCAACAGUAUUAAGAAUCUACAAAUAGGAACUUAAUAGAGUUAGAUAGAGGACUUACCUGAAGCAGAGUCAAACCUUUUCGUUUCUACCUUCUCUUAGAUCUUUUUGGUAGUCUGGGCAGCUUCGCUUCCUAUGUCCCUUCAAAUGGCAGUAGAAACAAUUAGCUUCUUUUGCAUUGGCACAUGAGACAAUCCUAGAACCGGCUUUUCUCUUGUGAUCAAAGCUUUUGAUCAUGGCCAAUUCCUUUAAUUUAGGAGAAGGAAUCAUUUCUGUACUAUCGAUGUAAUUGCCUAUGUUCAUGGCAGCUUGGGAAGUAGUGUUGGGUUUUGAGCAUUCUAACACUCCUAUGGUGUACAUGCAACCCUAUAAACCUUGGAUCUAUGUUUUCUCUAUUAUACAUGCAAAUAAGAACUUUCCAAGGCCUUAAUCCUAACUAGCAUACUAUGACGUAACUAUACUACAAAGACUAGUUAGAUGACAUACCUUUUGGUGUAGCUUGAUGUCUUCAAGCUUUAAGAGCUUAGCCCCAAUAGUGUGGAAGCCUCAAAUGGAAUCACAAAUCACGAAAACACCUUGGAAGACUUUAGAGAAUAUGGAUACUUGGUUCUCUCUAGUGAAAUUGGCUAUUCUUAGUGUACCCACACUAGUGCCCUCUUAACCAAACAAGGACAUCUUUAUAUAGUGUGGAGGAUUAGGGUUAAANNNNNNNNNNNNNNNNNNNNNNNNNNNNNNNNNNNNNNNNNNNNNNNNNNNNNNNNNNNNNNNNNNNNNNNNNNNNNNNNNNNNNNNNNNNNNNNNNNNNCAACUCUUGUUCAGAAGUGAUAGUCAAAAUGGAAUAUGGAAAUGGGUCAAAGCUAGAAAGUAUUUAAUCUGUAAGAUUAGGAAACUUAAUGCAAGAAGGAUGUUUCCAAGGAGUUGAUCUCCUCUGGAAUACUCUGUAAUGAUUUUUGCCAAGUCUUUCUGAAUUUGUGCAUAAUCAUUACAAGAGGAUCAAUGCAUAUAAGUUUAGAAUCUAACAGAUUUUAGUAAAUGACAUGAAUUUGGAAUUCUUGCAUUUGCAGCAAGGAAUUGGGACUGUGAAAUGAGAAUCAUUGAAGUUAUGUUCAACUGGUCUAUUUCGCAAAGUAAAGAUCAUAGAUGAACAUAGUGUGCACACUUAGUGUGUGGCAUGACUAGUGUUUAGAAAACAUAGUUUACAUGCUUGGAGCAUGGUAUAACUAGUGUUUUAAUUCAAGUAUAAAGUUGAUAAAACCGAAACAAUGAAUAAUGAGUAAUCAGUAUGGUGAUAAAUAAAAGUGUUUAUUUAUAUUCAUAGGGUUUGAUACCAUAUUUGAUUCAUUUAUUCUUGUGUUUCACUUUGCAUGUUUUGACUUCCAGAAUAAACUAGGUUAUUCUUCUGGAAUGACUAAGUUAUUCAAACCAUCCACAGUCGGUCAUAUGUUGGAAGUAGAUAUGAAUUAAGACUGUCAUGGGUUGGCUUGUAGAGGUCUAAGAUGUUGGACAAAGGGCUACAACACUCAUGAGUGCUCAUAAGUUCUGAGUAUUGGAUUCAACCCGCGCUCAUUGGAAUCACUUCAUGGAUUUUAUCACGAGUGAUCAUGAGACGAUAAUAUCUUAUAUUCUUCAAACCUAGAGAUAUGAGUUGUUACUAUGAGUUGGUUGUACAUUGAUUGCACGAAAACGCAUUUGGUAACUCGGUGCUAUAAAACGUGCCUUUGUGUAUGAUUCAACAAGUAGUAGAACAAGCCAUAUGAGUCGAAGUUUAUCCAUUCCUUUUACCUUCNNNNNNNNNNNNNNNNNNNNNNNAAUGAUGACACAUGUGAGUGCUUGGCCAAGCUAGGACUGAUUUGAUUUGUUCAAUCAGUCAGUCGUCAUGAAUCUGAAAUCGGGAAACAACCAAUGGACAAAGAGAAUGAUUAUAAUCCAUGUCUCAGUCCAUAUGANNNNNNNNNNNNNNNNNNNNNNNNNNNNNNNNNNNNNNNNNNNNNNNNNNNNNNNNNNNNNNNNNNNNNNNNNNNNNNNNNNNNNNNNNNNNNNNNNNNNAUAAAGUCCUUAACUAGUUGCCUAACACGGAAAUGGGACUAGAUAACUUUUAGGCCUUGUUUUGGAGUUUACACCCCAAGAAUGUUCUUGGUCCGUAAGCUCCCGGAUCUUGUGUUUUGGACAUGUAAAUAAUGUUAUUAAGCAUAUAACAAGUAUUAAAACACAUCUAGGAAAGUAGACUCACAAUCUGGGAUGAAAACCCAAAGAUCCGUGAGAGAGAUAUUGUCUUUUCUCUAAUUGGAAUUCAACUAAUGAACCAUUUUGGUUCAGAAUUCUAUUCAUAGUGCUGAGAUUUUUGGCAGAAAAUAUUUCUAUUCUCAGAAUGGAUUCUAAUGACCUAGAGUAAUGGAAUUACAGUGUUGCACAAAAUCCUAGUGCAUCCACUCUCCUAAUAUCUCCUUAGGUGUAAAACCCUGAAAACUGCCAAACUUAUACCAUAAGUCUGAAUUUUCACUGUAACUGCUUUACUUCUAUUGGAUUGAAAUGGUUUGAUUAAAAUGGAAAAUUUCGGGUUGUCACAGUAUAUGCUGAUUCUGAUCGCGAAGAUGGAUUUUAAUCGCAUGGUUGAGUGAUCAGAAUUUUGAGCACGUGCUUAAGAGUUAUGAUAGAUUGCUUAGGAAUAGAAGACAACAAGUUUUCAUAUACAUCUACAUUGUAAGGCUUAGUUUUUCCGCAAAGUUUUAAAAUAAAAGAAAAUUUUUUAAUUUUAUUUAUUUUAAAGUAUCCUUACAAUGACAUUUGGGAAAAAAGAUGUUGUUUAUAUGAUUCCACUGAUAGCAAUAUUGGAAAUAUGAAUUAGAUUCUUUCAUUUGUGGUAGUGUCUAAAUUUACCAAAUAAGGAAAGAUUCUCAUCACCCAAGUUUCAAUUGAAUCGAAACUUGGAAUCAUGCAAGGUGUAUGCUAUGAUGAAUGAGAACUUUCGAGCAUUGGAAAAUUAAGACUAACUGCUUGUUCACAUGGAUGUGUGAGUCAAGAGAAGGACUAUGGGAUCGAGUACACAUUCUUGUACACUGGUCAAGUCCAACACAAAAUAUUGAUAAGAUUAUUCGUCAUAAUUUACUAAAGCUCAGUAAAUAUGGUUAUACUUACAAGCUUAAGUGUAAUUCUGAGACAUUGGAAAAGGUUCCAAUGUAAGGCAGAGCGAAUAAGAAGAAUCAAAUUAGGCAAGAAGGAUAAAAGUUUCUUAAAUCUAAAAAGACGGGAGAGUACUUUAGUAUCAGUUUUGUGAUCAUCUUAACGAUUAAGAAACCAUAGCACAAUUAAUUCUCUAAGGAAUCUUAGUGCAUUCUUAUGACUAAGAAGAGGAAUCUUGAAUUGUUGAAAUGGUUAAAUCAAGAAGAUGAGUCAUACUUCGUUCUAAUACAAGUCUUAGAGUCAUACUCCAAGAUUGUAAUUUGAGUGACAUGUCUUAAAGAAGGUUUAAAACACUUGUCAAAUGUAAGAGUAAAAGUUUUCUACUCUUGUACAUUUGAAAUUGGUAAGUUGUGAUGUUUUGGAUAAAACAAAGACCAACUUAGGCCAAUUUUGUGAAGUGUUUGUCUUGAUU
RNAcentral lists this long non-coding RNA (7760 nucleotides) under Lactuca sativa (garden lettuce). Its description in RNAcentral is "long non-coding RNA (LSAT_LNC008854)". The record is from RNAcentral. Lineage: Eukaryota; Viridiplantae; Streptophyta; Magnoliopsida; Asterales; Asteraceae.